GAUGAACGCUGGCGGCGUGCUUAACACAUGCAAGUCGAACGGAAAGGCCCAAGCUUGCUUGGGUACUCGAGUGGCGAACGGGUGAGUAACACGUGGGUGAUCUGCCCUGCACUUCGGGAUAAGCCUGGGAAACUGGGUCUAAUACUGGAUAGGACCACUUCUUGGAUGGUGUGGUGGAAAGUUUUUUCGGUGUGGGAUGAGCUCGCGGCCUAUCAGCUUGUUGGUGGGGUAAUGGCCUACCAAGGCGUCGACGGGUAGCCGGCCUGAGAGGGUGUACGGCCACAUUGGGACUGAGAUACGGCCCAGACUCCUACGGGAGGCAGCAAUGGGGAAUAUUGCACAAUGGGCGCAAGCCUGAUGCAGCGACGCCGCGUGGGGGAUGACGGCCUUCGGGUUGUAAACUCCUGUCGCUAGGGACGAAGCGUUUUUGUGACGGUACCUGGAGAAGAAGCACCGGCUAACUACGUG
Molecule: ribosomal RNA, 468 nt
Filed under: uncultured bacterium
Lineage: Bacteria
Description: partial 16S ribosomal RNA
Rfam family: Bacterial small subunit ribosomal RNA
Source: RNAcentral